This 325-nucleotide long non-coding RNA is filed under the name Ictidomys tridecemlineatus (thirteen-lined ground squirrel). Its description in RNAcentral is "lncRNA (ENSSTOG00000032359.1)". The record is from RNAcentral. Lineage: Eukaryota; Metazoa; Chordata; Mammalia; Rodentia; Sciuridae.
CUUUGAUAGAAGAAGCUUCUCUCUGCACUGAGAUUAGAACUAGCAAGGCUGAUGAGGGAAAUGGAAAAGGUCAACUCAAGAUUAGUCAUACUUUGUAGAAGCUUUCAAGAAAGUGAAACCAUCUAUGUCAGGAAAGGGUCAAAUUAUGUAUGAAGCUCUGCAUCGCUCCCUCAGCCAGGGACAUAUCCAGCAGCUGGCUUGGAGGAGUCCAGCCAUCAAACCAGCAGAAAAGACCACCUGCCCUGAGGUACUCAGUUUCAGCUUGACACAGAUGUGGCCUCAUAAUACACCCCAGCAAUGACAGACUGUAUGCAGCAACAGAGUU